RNAcentral lists this ribosomal RNA (460 nucleotides) under uncultured bacterium. RNAcentral's name for it is "partial 16S ribosomal RNA". It matches the Rfam family "Bacterial small subunit ribosomal RNA", at positions 338 to 795 of the family's 1533-position model. The record is from RNAcentral.
CCUACGGGAGGCAGCAGUGAGGAAUAUUGGUCAAUGGACGAGAGUCUGAACCAGCCAAGUAGCGUGAAGGAUGACUGCCCUAUGGGUUGUAAACUUCUUUUAUAUGGGAAUAAAAUGUUCCACGUGUGGGGUUUUGUAUGUACCAUAUGAAUAAGGAUCGGCUAACUCCGUGCCAGCAGCCGCGGUAAUACGGAGGAUCCGAGCGUUAUCCGGAUUUAUUGGGUUUAAAGGGAGCGUAGAUGGGUUGUUAAGUCAGUUGUGAAAGUUUGCGGCUCAACCGUAAAAUUGCAAUUGAUACUGGCAGUCUUGAGUACAGUGGAGGUAGGCGGAAUUCGUGGUGUAGCGGUGAAAUGCUUAGAUAUCACGAAGAACUCCGAUUGCGAAGGCAGCUUACUAAACUGCCACUGACAUUGAUGCUCGAAAGUGUGGGUAUCAAACAGGAUUAGAUACCCCGGUAGUC